This 242-nucleotide ribosomal RNA is filed under the name uncultured bacterium. Its description in RNAcentral is "partial 16S ribosomal RNA". It matches the Rfam family "Bacterial small subunit ribosomal RNA", at positions 94 to 334 of the family's 1533-position model. The record is from RNAcentral.
ACCGGCGCACGGGUGAGUAACACGUAUGCAACCUACCUACUACAAGGCAAUAACCCGGCGAAAGUCGGACUAAUAGCCUAUAAUACAAUAUCCUCCCCUGAGGAUUUUGUUAAAGGAGCAAUCCCGGUAUUAGAUGGGCAUGCGCUCCAUUAGGUAGUUGGUAGAGUAAUAGCCUACCAAGCCGACGAUGGAUAGGGGCACUGAGAGGUUUACCCCCACACUGGAACUGAGACACGGACCAG